RNAcentral lists this ribosomal RNA (443 nucleotides) under uncultured bacterium. Its description in RNAcentral is "partial 16S ribosomal RNA". It matches the Rfam family "Bacterial small subunit ribosomal RNA", at positions 338 to 795 of the family's 1533-position model. The record is from RNAcentral.
CCUACGGGUGGCAGCAGUGGGGAAUAUUGGGCAAUGGGCGCAAGCCUGACCCAGCAACGCCGCGUGAAGGAAGAAGGCUUUCGGGUUGUAAACUUCUUUUAUCAGGGACGAAGCAAGUGACGGUACCUGAUGACUAAGCCACGGCUAACUACGUGCCAGCAGGCGCGGUAAUACGUAGGUGGCAAGCGUUAUCCGGAUUUACUGGGUGUAAAGGGCGUGUAGGCGGGAGUGCAAGUCAGAUGUGAAAACUAUGGGCUCAACCCAUAGCCUGCAGUUGAAACUGGACUUCUUGAGUGCGGGAGAGGCAAGCGGAAGUCCGGGUGUAGCGGUGAAAUGCGUAGAUAUACGGAGGAACUCCAGUGGCGAAGGCGGAUUGCUGGACAGUAACUGACGCUGAGGCGCGAAAGCGUGGGUAGCAAACAGGAUUAGAUACCCCAGUAGUC